UACGGGGGGGCAAGCGUUGUUCGGAAUUACUGGGCGUAAAGGGCUCGUAGGCGGCCAACUAAGUCCGACGUGAAAUCCCAAGGCUUAACCUUGGAACUGCGUCGGAUACUGGAUGGCUUGAAUUCGGGAGAGGGAUGCAGAAUUCCAGGUGUAGCGGUGAAAUGCGUAGAUAUCUGGAGGAAUACCGGUGGCGAAGGCGGCAUCCUGGACCGACAUUGACGCUGAUGAGCGAAAGCUAGGGGAGCAAACGGG
Molecule: ribosomal RNA, 252 nt
Filed under: uncultured bacterium
Lineage: Bacteria
Description: partial 16S ribosomal RNA
Rfam family: Bacterial small subunit ribosomal RNA
Source: RNAcentral